RNAcentral lists this ribosomal RNA (377 nucleotides) under uncultured bacterium. RNAcentral describes it as "bacterial SSU rRNA". It matches the Rfam family "Bacterial small subunit ribosomal RNA", at positions 523 to 898 of the family's 1533-position model. The record is from RNAcentral.
AUACGUAGGUGGCGAGCGUUGUCCGGAAUUACUGGGUGUAAAGGGCGUGUAGGCGGGGAGGCAAGUCAGAUGUGAAAUACCGGGGCUUAACUCCGGGGCUGCAUCUGAAACUGUUUUUCUUGAGUGCCGGAGAGGAAAGCGGAAUUCCCAGUGUAGCGGUGAAAUGCGUAGAUAUUGGGAGGAACACCAGUGGCGAAGGCGGCUUUCUGGACGGUAACUGACGCUGAGGCGCGAAAGCGUGGGGAGCAAACAGGAUUAGAUACCCUGGUAGUCCACGCCGUAAACGAUGGAUACUAGGUGUAGGAGGUAUCGACCCCUUCUGUGCCGGAGUUAACACAAUAAGUAUCCCACCUGGGGAGUACGGCCGCAAGGUUGAA